Molecule: long non-coding RNA, 463 nt
Organism: Biomphalaria glabrata
Lineage: Eukaryota; Metazoa; Mollusca; Gastropoda; Planorbidae
Exons: 2
Source: RefSeq, a predicted model, not a curated record
UCCUAUUAAAAACUGGAAAUGUAUGCAGUGGCUAUAACAAUCGAUAUACAUAAAUGUAGAAUGGUAUAGUGUAGAUGUGAAGUGAGUUUCUCUGCUUCAAAUUACAGAUCGUGGAGCAAGACUCGGAGUCUUCAAGAGUGCUGACAAAAUGCAGAUUCUGAGGAGGAAAGGACGCCUUUUAAAUGCAAACAUUUGGGUGGGUCUAGAUGAUAUAGCAACUGAAGGCACCUGGAAGUGGCAUGAUGGAAGUAUUCUCCCACAGUGGAGCUAUCAACCUACCUAUUUCAGUGACGGUCAACCAAAUAAUUUCGAUAAUCAGGACUGCGCUCAUUACUGGCAAAAAGAAACCUACCUGGCAGAUAACGUAUGCACCAAUGCCUAUUAUUACGUGUGCGAAAAAAUCUGACCGUUUGUUUUUUUUUAACCACAAUUAAGUAAAAUAAAUUAGCAAUGAGUCACGCUG